CGAAGGGGCUAGCGUUGUUCGGAAUCACUGGGCGUAAAGCGUACGUAGGCGGAUCGUUAAGUCAGGGGUGAAAUCCCGAGGCUCAACCUCGGAACUGCCUUUGAUACUGGCGAUCUUGAGUCCGGGAGAGGUGAGUGGAACUCCUAGUGUAGAGGUGAAAUUCGUAGAUAUUAGGAAGAACACCAGUGGCGAAGGCGGCUCACUGGCCCGGUACUGACGCUGACGUACGAAAGCGUGGGGAGCAAACAGGAUU
This 253-nucleotide ribosomal RNA is filed under the name uncultured bacterium. RNAcentral's name for it is "partial 16S ribosomal RNA". It matches the Rfam family "Bacterial small subunit ribosomal RNA", at positions 527 to 779 of the family's 1533-position model. The record is from RNAcentral.